RNAcentral lists this ribosomal RNA (293 nucleotides) under Brachionus plicatilis. RNAcentral's name for it is "partial 16S ribosomal RNA". Lineage: Eukaryota; Metazoa; Rotifera; Eurotatoria; Ploima; Brachionidae. The record is from RNAcentral.
GGUAGCGUGAUUCUUGUUUUCUUAAUUAGAAAUCUGUUCAAAGAAUGAUAUGGAGAGAAUCUAUUGUUUUCAUUCAUAGUGAAUUUAAAAUGUUAGUGAAAAUUCUGACAAGAUUAUAAAAGACGAGAAGACCCCAUAAAACUUAAUUUGAUGUAGUAUUCUCUCUAGCUUAAAAUUUAAAUGGGGACUUUAGAGUUAACUAAUAACUUAAAGACCUAUUAUUAUAAUAUUUGAGAAGCUACUUUGGGGAUAACAGGGUAAAAUAUUUAGAGAGUUCCUAUCGAUAAAUAUGA